RNAcentral lists this ribosomal RNA (469 nucleotides) under uncultured Oomycota. Its description in RNAcentral is "LSU rRNA". The stretch from base 1 to 83 matches the Rfam family "Bacterial large subunit ribosomal RNA", at positions 476 to 559 of the family's 2925-position model. Lineage: Eukaryota; Oomycota. The record is from RNAcentral.
GUGCGAGACCGAUAGCGAACAAGUACCGUGAGGGAAAGAUGAAAAGAACUUUGAAAAGAGAGUUAAAGAGUACCUGAAACUGCUGAAAGGGAACCGAAUCGUUUCCAGUGUCUAUAAUCCGUGGCAUAUUUCAUUGGCGAGUGUGCGCGUGCGUGUGCUGUGGCAGCGGCCUUUUUGGUUGCGCUCGGCGCGUGUGCUGUGUGUGCUUGCUGGUGCCCUGUGCUGCGGUGGGACGUCAAGGUCAGUUCGUAUGCUGCGGGAAAUGGCUGCCGAGGAGGUAGGGCUUACGCUCCGCGUUUGUCUGUUAUAUCUUGGUGGACGAGUCGUCGCGGUUGGGACUGAGGUGCCUACAGCGUGCUUUUGAGUGGGUCUGUGUCUCCGUGUGCGCCGUGUGCGGAUAGCUUGCUAUGCGUGUGUGGUUGUGUGUGGAUUGAUGCGGGCUUUAACUUGUUGCUGUUCGGGACUUUGA